AUGUACAUGCAUACAACAUAAUGUUAAUGCAUCAGAUCCCAUUAGAACUCCACAGUUAAGUACACUCAGCAUAGAGUAGUACUGGGAUGGGCGAUCGCCCGAGAAGUCCUAGUGUUUUAAAUU
Non-coding RNA from Picea glauca (white spruce), 123 nucleotides. The record is from Rfam. Lineage: Eukaryota; Viridiplantae; Streptophyta; Pinopsida; Pinales; Pinaceae.